CCUACGGGUGGCUGCAGUGGGGAAUAUUGGACAAUGGGCGAAAGCCUGAUCCAGCCAUGCCGCGUGUGUGAAGAAGGCCUUCGGGUUGUAAAGCACUUUCAGUGGGGAAGAAAGCCUUGGGGCUAAUACCCUCGAGGAAGGACAUCACCCACAGAAGAAGCACCGGCUAACUCCGUGCCAGCAGCCGCGGUAAUACGGAGGGUGCGAGCGUUAAUCGGAAUUACUGGGCGUAAAGCGCGCGUAGGCGGUCUGAUAAGCCGGUUGUGAAAGCCCCGGGCUCAACCUGGGAACGGCAUCCGGAACUGUCAGGCUAGAGUGCAGGAGAGGAAGGUAGAAUUCCCGGUGGAGCGGUGAAAUGCGUAGAGAUCGGGAGGAAUACCAGUGGCGAAGGCGGCCUUCUGGACUGACACUGACGCUGAGGUGCGAAAGCGUGGGUAGCCAACAGGAUUAGAUACCCGAGUAGUC
RNAcentral lists this ribosomal RNA (465 nucleotides) under Vreelandella stevensii. RNAcentral's name for it is "partial 16S ribosomal RNA". It matches the Rfam family "Bacterial small subunit ribosomal RNA", at positions 338 to 795 of the family's 1533-position model. The record is from RNAcentral. Lineage: Bacteria; Pseudomonadati; Pseudomonadota; Gammaproteobacteria; Oceanospirillales; Halomonadaceae.